CUUGACUCUUAUAAGAGGUCCAGCCUGCCCAGUGACCAUGUUCAACGGCCGCGGUAUCCUAACCGUGCGAAGGUAGCGUAAUCACUUGUUCUUUAAAUGCGGACUAGUAUGAAUGGCACCACGAAGGUUAUACUGUCUCCUUUUUCUAAUCAGUGAAACUAAUCUCCCCGUGAAGAAGCGAGGAUAUAUCUAUAAGACGAGAAGACCCUAUGGAGCUUUAAACAACACAGCAAUUACCUGCUAAACUAAGAAGUUUCUGAACAUUUUCAAUCUUUUAAGUAAUCUGACUGCAAGUUUUUGGUUGGGGUGACCACGGAGCAUAACACAACCUCCAUGUUGAAAGAAUUCUUUCUAAGCCAAGAACAACCUUUCUAAGCAUCAAUAUAUUGACAUCCAUUGACCCAAUACAUUUGACCAACGAAC
Molecule: ribosomal RNA, 423 nt
Filed under: Rhinella marina group sp. ABGD cluster 38
Lineage: Eukaryota; Metazoa; Chordata; Amphibia; Anura; Bufonidae
Description: partial large subunit ribosomal RNA
Rfam family: Bacterial large subunit ribosomal RNA
Source: RNAcentral